This 253-nucleotide ribosomal RNA is filed under the name uncultured bacterium. RNAcentral describes it as "partial 16S ribosomal RNA". It matches the Rfam family "Bacterial small subunit ribosomal RNA", at positions 524 to 776 of the family's 1533-position model. The record is from RNAcentral.
UACGUAGGGUGCGAGCGUUAAUCGGAAUUACUGGGCGUAAAGCGUGCGCAGGCGGUUUUGUAAGCCAGAUGUGAAAUCCCCGGGCUUAACCUGGGAAUGGCAUUUGGGACUGCAAGGCUCGAGUGCGGCAGAGGAGACUGGAAUUCCUGGUGUAGCAGUGAAAUGCGUAGAUAUCAGGAGGAACACCAAUUGCGAAGGCAGCUCGCUGGGACGUGACUGACGCUGAGACGCGAAAGCGUGGGGAGCAAACAGG